This 370-nucleotide ribosomal RNA is filed under the name uncultured organism. Its description in RNAcentral is "bacterial SSU rRNA". It matches the Rfam family "Bacterial small subunit ribosomal RNA", at positions 527 to 896 of the family's 1533-position model. The record is from RNAcentral.
GGGGGGAGCAAGCGUUGUUCGGAUUACUGGGCGUAAAGGGCGCGUAGGCGGCACGCAAGUCGACUGUGAAAUCUCCGGGCUUAACUCGGAAAGGUCAGCCGAUACUGCGGGGCUAGAGUGCAGAAGGGGCAACUGGAAUUCUCGGUGUAGCGGUGAAAUGCGUAGAUAUCGAGAGGAACACCUGCGGCGAAGGCGGGUUGCUGGGCUGACACUGACGCUGAUGCGCGAAAGCUAGGGGAGCGAACGGGAUUAGAUACCCCGGUAGUCCUAGCCUUAAACGAUGAAUGCUUGGUGUCUGGGGUUUUAUAGUCCCCGGGUGCCGUCGCUAACGCUUUAAGCAUUCCGCCUGGGGAGUACGGUCGCAAGACUG